GACGAACGCUGGCGGCGUGCUUAACACAUGCAAGUCGAACGGAAAGGCCCUGCUUUUGUGGGGUGCUCGAGUGGCGAACGGGUGAGUAACACGUGAGUAACCUGCCCUUGACUUUGGGAUAACUUCAGGAAACUGGGGCUAAUACCGGAUAGGAGCUGCUGCUGCAUGGUGGGGGUUGGAAAGUUUCGGCGGGUGGGGAUGGACUCGCGGCUUAUCAGCUUGUUGGUGGGGGAGUGGCUUACCAAGGCUUUGACGGGUAGCCGGCCUGAGAGGGUGACCGGCCACAUUGGGACUGAGAUACGGCCCAGACUCCUACGGGAGGCAGCAGUGGGGAAUAUUGCACAAUGGGCGGAAGCCUGAUGAAGCAACGCCGCGUGCGGGAUGACGGCCUUCGGGUUGUAAACCGCUUUCGCCUGUGACGAAGCGUGAGUGACGGUAAUGGGUAAAGAAGCACCGGCUAACUACGUG
Molecule: ribosomal RNA, 468 nt
Filed under: uncultured bacterium
Lineage: Bacteria
Description: partial 16S ribosomal RNA
Rfam family: Bacterial small subunit ribosomal RNA
Source: RNAcentral